Long non-coding RNA from Mastomys coucha (southern multimammate mouse), 1624 nucleotides. RefSeq lists it as uncharacterized. The record is from RefSeq and is a predicted model, not a curated record. The transcript has 2 exons. Lineage: Eukaryota; Metazoa; Chordata; Mammalia; Rodentia; Muridae.
AUGCCCUCUGCUGGGCUGUCUGAAGACAGCAACAGUGUACACACAUACAUUUUAAAUAAAUGAAUGAAUGAAUGAAUGUUUUUAAAAAACCAUUUAUUAUUAGUGGGGGCAUGUGUGGCCUUUCCCAGCCUUGAGCAGGCUGGACAGACAGACCUUGAGUGCUUGCCACUCUGGACCUUAUCACCUUAUCGGCCUGAUGGGGCCAGGCUGUGCCUGCUUUGGCUGUAUGUGCAGGUUCCCAUGGGAACUUGGACGACUAGACUGCUGUGCUGACCUUGCUUGGCCACAUCCUCCAGCUGAAACACAGGGUAGUUCUGUGGACUUUCCCGUGAUAAAGCAGUGCUGAACAUUAAACUUUGAGCCUUGAUCAGAGCACAGACUUGACUUCAUUCUUCUCCUGCCCCCACCUUACCCUUUUCAUUUCCAGCCCCCCUUUCAAGUGGACCCAGCUCCUCUGACGCCGCUGGAUGGCUGCAGGCAUGUACAUAUAAAAGUCAGAAGAUUUCGUGGAAUCAGUUUUCUUCUUCUACCUUUCUAUGGGUCACAAGGAUCCUUACACUUGGCAGCAAGUACUGUUAACUGCUGAGUGUUCUCACCAACCAGGCCCAACCAGUAUUGGAUCUUAACAUCAUAACAGGGGUGGUACCUCUGUCCUUAACGAAACAAAGUCACAAAGCCUGAGGUUACAAAAGUUUGUAACUUCAGCACUGGCGCAAGGCCAAGGACAGCCUGAACUAUAAGAGAACCUGUCUCCCAAGAAGGGACAAGGAGACAAGGUGUGGAAUCUGAUUCUGGAAGAAUCACUACCCAUAAAAUAGUACUUACUCUAAAAUACCAUCACUCCACAAUACUCUUAUUCACCGCCCAAUUGAAUACUGCUACAGCCUUUCAAUCUAUUUAUAGAAGAUUAAUUGGAAAUUGAAGAACAUCUCAGGACUGGUGUGGUGGCUCAGUGGCCAAGGUCACUCGCUGCCAAGCCUGACCACCUGAGCUCCAUCCCCAGUGAUCAUAAUUCCUGGCACUCAGAGUAGAAGGAGAGAGCUGACUCCUGCCAGUUGUCCUUUGACCUCUAUAGACUUACUCGGGAACACACACAAAAGACAUGAAUGCUAAAGAAACGUUUUUUUAAAGGACAUAUUGAAAGGCAUCAAGAGAUGCAACCGGCUAAAUAAGACUGUGGGAAAUCCCAGAAUGAGCCGAGGCAGACUAUUGCAGAAUACUUGAAAGUUAUCUGGAUGCAGCGAGGGGCCCUAGAUUCUGAUUUGUAUAAAUCAACGGUAAUAUAUAUGUAUGAAACAACUAGAAAAAUUUGAAUACUGACCGAAUACUAAAUAAUACUUUAAAAUUAAUGCAACUUCUUGAAAGAUUUAAUAGAAACUCCUAUCUUUUAAAGAACCACAGAAAAACAUUUCUGGAUGAAAAGUAACACUUGCCCAAGAGAGGCAGGGGUGGUCCCGCAUGCCGGUAAUCCCAUAACCCCAGCAUUCGGGAGGCUGAAGCUGGAUCAGCACUGGCUGUAUAGUUCGUGGCAGGCCAGACACAAACAGCUACAUAGCAAGACUCUGUCUCCAAAAAAUCAAGAAAACGACGUCAUUAACCAAGACAACAGGAGAUGAGUAAUAAA